This 2822-nucleotide long non-coding RNA is filed under the name Citrus x clementina. RNAcentral's name for it is "Citrus clementina (C. clementina) long non-coding RNA (CCLE_LNC005854)". The record is from RNAcentral. Lineage: Eukaryota; Viridiplantae; Streptophyta; Magnoliopsida; Sapindales; Rutaceae.
AUGGCACCAGACUUGGCGGGCGUCCUCCGUGUGCCAAAAAUAGGCCACGGGCACAGCCGCGCCCAAUAAACAGCCCCCGAAGUUCGGGGUCCCAUGAUCCCCCAGCGGAAAAAUGGCCAAAAAACGGGUGGGCUAUAGCCUUGGUGGGGGGCGUGGGCGAAGUUCGUCCGCGGGACUCGGAAUGGCACCAGACUUGGCGGGCGGCCUCCGUGUGCCAAAAAUAGGCCACGGGCACAGCCGCGCCCAAAAAACAGCCCCCGAAGUUUGGGGUCCCAAGACCCUCCAGCGGAAAAAUGGCCAAAAAACGGUGGGCUAUAGCCUUGGUGGGGUGCGUGGACGAAGUUCGUCCGCGGGACUCGGAAUGGCACCAGACUUGGCGGGCGGCCUCCGUGUGCCAAAAAUAGGCCACGGGCACAGCCGCGCCCAAAAAACAGCCCCCGAAGUUCGGGGUCCCAAGACCCCCCAGCGGAAAAAUGGCCAAAAAACGGGUGGGCUAUAGCCUUGGUGGGGGGCGUGGGCGAAGUUCGUCCGCGGGACUCGGAAUGGCACUAGACUUGGCGGGCGGCCUCCGUGUGCCAAAAAUAGGCCACGGGCACAGCCGCGCCCAAAAAACAGCCCCCGAAGUUCGGGGUCCCAAGACCCCCCAGCGGAAAAAUGGCCAAAAAACGGGUGGGCUAUAGCCUUGGUGGGGGGCGUGGGCGAAGUUCGUCCGCGGGACUCGGAAUGGCACCAGACUUGGCGGGCGGCCUCCGUGUGCCAAAAAUAGGCCACGGGCACAGCCGCGCUCAAAAAACAGCCCCCGAAGUUCGGGGUCCCAAGACCCCCCAGCGGAAAAAUGGCCAAAAAACGGGUGGGCUAUAGCCUUGGUGGGGGGCGUGGGCGAAGUUCGUCCGCGGAACUCGGAAAGGCACCAGACCUGGCGGGCGGCCUCCGUGUGCCAAAAAUAGGCCACGGGCACAGCCGCGCCCAAAAAACAGCCCCCGAAGUUCGGGGUCCCAAGACCCCCCAGCGGAAAAAUGGCCAAAAAACGGUGGGCUAUAGCCUUGGUGGGGGGCGUGGGCGAAGUUCGUCCGUGGGACUCGGAAUGGCACCAGACUUGGCGGGCGGCCUCCGUGUGCCAAAAAUAGGCCACGGGCACAGCCGCGCCCAAAAAACAGCCCCCGAAGUUCGGGGUCCCAAGACCCCCCAGCGGAAAAAUGGCCAAAAAACGGUGGGCUAUAGCCUUGGUGGGGUGCGUGGGCGAAGUUCGUCCGCGGGACUCGGAAUGGCACCAGACUUGGCGGGCGGCCUCCGUGUGCCAAAAAUAGGCCACGGGCACAGCCGCGCCCAAAAAACAGCCCCCGAAGUUCGGGGUCCCAAGACCCCCCAGCGGAAAAAUAGCCAAAAAACGGUGGGCUAUAGCCUUGGUGGGGGGCGUGGGCGAAGUUCGUCCGUGGGACUCGGAAUGGCACCAGACUUGGCGGGCGGCCUCCGUGUGCCAAAAAUAGGCCACGGGCACAGCCGCGCCCAAAAAACAGCCCCCGAAGUUCGGGGUCCCAAGACCCCCCAGCGGAAAAAUGGCCAAAAAACGGGUGGGCUAUAGCCUUGGUGGGGGGCGUGGGCGAAGUUCGUCCGCGGGACUCGGAAUGGUACCAGACAUGGCGGGCGGCCUCCGUGUGCCAAAAAUAGGCCACGGGCACAGCCGCGCCCAAAAAACAGCCCCCGAAGUUCGGGGUCCCAAGACCCCCCAGCGGAAAAAUGGCCAAAAAACGGGUGGGCUAUAGCCUUGGUGGGGGGCGUGGGCGAAGUUCGUCCGCGGGACUCGGAAUGGCACCAGACUUGGCGGGCGGCCUCCGUGUGCCAAAAAUAGGCCACGGGCACAGCCGCGCCCAAAAAACAGCCCCUGAAGUUCGGGGUCCCAAGACCCCCCAGCGGAAAAAUGGCCAAAAAACGGGUGGGCUAUAGCCUUGGUGGGGUGCGUGGGCGAAGUUCGUCCGCGGGACUCGGAAUGGCACCAGACUUGCCGGGCGGCCUCCGUGUGCCAAAAAUAGGCCACGGGCACAGCCGCGCCCAAAAAACAGCCCCCGAAGUUCGGGGUCCCUAGACCCCCCAGCGGAAAAAUGGCCAAAAAACGGUGGGCUAUAGCCUUGGUGGGGGGCGUGGGCGAAGUUCGUCCGCGGGACUCGGAAUGGCACCAGACUUGGCGGGCGGCCUCCGUGUGCCAAAAAUAGGCCACGGGCACAGCCGCGCCCAAAAAACAGCCCCCGAAGUUCGGGGUCCCAAGACCCCCCAGCGGAAAAAUGGCCAAAAAACGGGUGGGCUAUAGCCUUGGUGGGGGGCGUGGGCGAAGUUCGUCCGCGGGACUCGGAAUGGCACCAGACUUGGCGGGCGGCCUCCGUGUGCCAAAAAUAGGCCACGGGCACAGCCGCGGCCAAAAAACAGCCCCCGAAGUUCGGGGUCCCAAGACCCCCCAGCGGAAAAAUGGCCAAAAAACGGGUGGGCUAUAGCCUUGGUGGGGGGCGUGGGCGAAGUUCGUCCGCGGGACUCGGAAUGGCACCAGACUUGGCGGGCGGCCUCCGUGUGCCAAAAAUAGGCCACGGGCACAGCCGCGCCCAAAAAACAAUCCCCGAAGUUCGGGGUCCCAAGACCCCCCAGCGGAAAAAUGGCCAAAAAACGGGUGGGCUAUAGCCUUGGUGGGGGGCGUGGGCGAAGUUCGUCCGCGGGACUCGGAAUGGCACCAGACUUUGCGGGCGGCCUCCGUGUGCCAAAAAUAGGCCACGGGCACAGCCGCGCCCAAAAAACAGCCCCCGAAGUUCGGGGUCCCAAGACCCCCUAGCGGAAAA